CACUCUGGACUCUGAAUCCAGCGAUCCG
RNAcentral lists this non-coding RNA (28 nucleotides) under Gallus gallus (chicken). RNAcentral also lists the same sequence under 6 other names. Lineage: Eukaryota; Metazoa; Chordata; Aves; Galliformes; Phasianidae. The record is from RNAcentral.